Bison bison bison is the source of this 120-nucleotide unclassified non-coding RNA. The record is from Ensembl. NCBI's taxonomy places the organism in Eukaryota, Metazoa, Chordata, Mammalia, Artiodactyla, Bovidae.
ACCACCUGUAUUUAAAGAUCAGAAGUCCAACAGGUUCAGCUCUUCAACCCCACAGAUCCUAGUUUUUCUGUUCAGUUUUUUAUCCAUACAUUUCUAGAUCACUGAAAGUUGUAUUAAAAA